RNAcentral lists this ribosomal RNA (690 nucleotides) under uncultured bacterium. RNAcentral's name for it is "bacterial SSU rRNA". It matches the Rfam family "Bacterial small subunit ribosomal RNA", at positions 79 to 765 of the family's 1533-position model. The record is from RNAcentral.
CUUGCUUCUCUUGAGAGCGGCGGACGGGUGAGUAAUGCCUAGGAAUCUGCCUGGUAGUGGGGGAUAACGUCCGGAAACGGACGCUAAUACCGCAUACGUCCUACGGGAGAAAGCAGGGGACCUUCGGGCCUUGCGCUAUCAGAUGAGCCUAGGUCGGAUUAGCUAGUUGGUGGGGUAAUGGCUCACCAAGGCGACGAUCCGUAACUGGUCUGAGAGGAUGAUCAGUCACACUGGAACUGAGACACGGUCCAGACUCCUACGGGAGGCAGCAGUGGGGAAUAUUGGACAAUGGGCGAAAGCCUGAUCCAGCCAUGCCGCGUGUGUGAAGAAGGUCUUCGGAUUGUAAAGCACUUUAAGUUGGGAGGAAGGGCAGUAAAUUAAUACUUUGCUGUUUUGACGUUACCGACAGAAUAAGCACCGGCUAACUCUGUGCCAGCAGCCGCGGUAAUACAGAGGGUGCAAGCGUUAAUCGGAAUUACUGGGCGUAAAGCGCGCGUAGGUGGUUCGUUAAGUUGGAUGUGAAAUCCCCGGGCUCAACCUGGGAACUGCAUUCAAAACUGACGAGCUAGAGUAUGGUAGAGGGUGGUGGAAUUUCCUGUGUAGCGGUGAAAUGCGUAGAUAUAGGAAGGAACACCAGUGGCGAAGGCGACCACCUGGACUGAUACUGACACUGAGGUGCGAAAGCGUGGG